CAGUAGGGAGGAAGGUAGUGUAGUUAACACCUGCAUUAUUUGACGUUACUACAGAAGAAGCACCGGCUAACUCCGUGCCAGCAGCCGCGGUAAUACGGAGGGUGCGAGCGUUAAUCGGAAUUACUGGGCGUAAAGCGCAUGCAGGCGGCCUGUUAAGUCAGAUGUGAAAGCCCGGGGCUUAACCUCGGAAUUGCAUUUGAAACUGGCAGGCUAGAGUCUUGUAGAGGGGGGUAGGAAUUUCAGGUGUAGCGGUGAAAUGCGUAGAGAUCUGAAGGAAUACCAGUGGCGAAGGCGGCCCCCUGGACAAAGACUGACGCUCAGAUGCGAAAGCGUGGGGAGCAAACAGGAUUAGAUACCCUGGUAG
RNAcentral lists this ribosomal RNA (364 nucleotides) under uncultured bacterium. RNAcentral's name for it is "bacterial SSU rRNA". It matches the Rfam family "Bacterial small subunit ribosomal RNA", at positions 434 to 793 of the family's 1533-position model. The record is from RNAcentral.